ACGGUAACAGGAAGCAGCUUGCUGCUUUGCUGACGAGUGGCGGACGGGUGAGUAAUGUCUGGGAAACUGCCUGAUGGAGGGGGAUAACUACUGGAAACGGUAGCUAAUACCGCAUAACGUCGCAAGACCAAAGAGGGGGACCUUCGGGCCUCUUGCCAUCGGAUGUGCCCAGAUGGGAUUAGCUUGUUGGUGGGGUAACGGCUCACCAAGGCGACGAUCCCUAGCUGGUCUGAGAGGAUGACCAGCCACACUGGAACUGAGACACGGUCCAGACUCCUACGGGAGGCAGCAGUGGGGAAUAUUGCACAAUGGGCGCAAGCCUGAUGCAGCCAUGCCGCGUGUAUGAAGAAGGCCUUCGGGUUGUAAAGUACUUUCAGCGGGGAGGAAGGGAGUAAAGUUAAUACCUUUGCUCAUUGACGUUACCCGCAGAAGAAGCACCGGCUAACUCCGUGCCAGCAGCCGCGGUAAUACGGAGGGUGCAAGCGUUAAUCGGAAUUACUGGGCGUAAAGCGCACGCAGGCGGUUUGUUAAGUCAGAUGUGAAAUCCCCGGGCUCAACCUGGGAACUGCAUCUGAUACUGGCAAGCUUGAGUCUCGUAGAGGGGGGUAGAAUUCCAGGUGUAGCGGUGAAAUGCGUAGAGAUCUGGAGGAAUACCGGUGGCGAAGGCGGCCCCCUGGACGAAGACUGACGCUCAGGUGCGAAAGCGUGGGGAGCAAACAGGAUUAGAUACCCUGGUAGUCCACGCCGUAAACGAUGUCGACUUGGAGGUUGUGCCCUUGAGGCGUGGCUUCCGGAGCUAACGCGUUAAGUCGACCGCCUGGGGAGUACGGCCGCAAGGUUAAAACUCAAAUGAAUUGACGGGGGCCCGCACAAGCGGUGGAGCAUGUGGUUUAAUUCGAUGCAACGCGAAGAACCUUACCUGGUCUUGACAUCCACGGAAGUUUGCAGAGAUGAGAAUGUGCCUUCGGGAACUGUGAGACAGGUGCUGCAUGGCUGUCGUCAGCUCGUGUUGUGAAAUGUUGGGUUAAGUCCCGCAACGAGCGCAACCCUUAUCCUUUGUUGCCAGCGGUCCGGCCGGGAACUCAAAGG
RNAcentral lists this ribosomal RNA (1089 nucleotides) under bacterium. Its description in RNAcentral is "bacterial SSU rRNA". It matches the Rfam family "Bacterial small subunit ribosomal RNA", at positions 66 to 1145 of the family's 1533-position model. The record is from RNAcentral.